GCACUUACCUGGCAGGGGAGACACCAUGACCACGAAGGUGGUUUUCCCAAGGUGAGGCUCAUCCAUUGCACCCAGAUGUGCUGACGCCUGAGAUUUCCCCAAAUGCAGGAAACCCCACUGCGCAAUUUGUGGUAGUGGGAUCUGUAUUCGCUCUUUCCCUG
This is a small nuclear RNA of Octodon degus (degu), 161 nucleotides long. Its record names the gene U1. It matches the Rfam family "U1 spliceosomal RNA". Rfam says of the family: U1 is a small nuclear RNA (snRNA) component of the spliceosome (involved in pre-mRNA splicing). Lineage: Eukaryota; Metazoa; Chordata; Mammalia; Rodentia; Octodontidae. The record is from Ensembl.